UACGUAGGGACCAAGCGUUGUUCGGAUUUACUGGGCGUAAAGGGCGCGUAGGCGGUCGUGACAAGUCACUUGUGAAAUCUCCGGGCUUAACUCGGAACGGUCAAGUGAUACUGUCGGACUAGAGUACAGAAGGGGCAACUGGAAUUCUCGGUGUAGCGGUGAAAAUGCGUAGAUAUCGAGAGGAACACCUGGCGGCGAAGGCGGGUUGCUGGGCUGAUAACUGA
Molecule: ribosomal RNA, 224 nt
Filed under: uncultured bacterium
Lineage: Bacteria
Description: partial 16S ribosomal RNA
Rfam family: Bacterial small subunit ribosomal RNA
Source: RNAcentral